GGCUUCGUGGCUCACCUGGUAGAGCGCUUGCCAUGUUUAGGCGUGUUGUUUUUGUCGCUGGUUUGAAUGCAGCUGAAGCCC
Molecule: non-coding RNA, 81 nt
Organism: Paragonimus heterotremus
Lineage: Eukaryota; Metazoa; Platyhelminthes; Trematoda; Plagiorchiida; Troglotrematidae
Source: the annotation of a GenBank genome assembly